GCCAAUAGGGCUGCUACAGCAGGCUACUUUGAUAUAGUAGAUUGUGAAUUCAAAAUUUCGUUGGUA
This 66-nucleotide transfer RNA is filed under the name Clistobothrium montaukensis. RNAcentral's name for it is "tRNA-Ile". Lineage: Eukaryota; Metazoa; Platyhelminthes; Cestoda; Phyllobothriidea; Phyllobothriidae. The record is from RNAcentral.